GUGGGGAAUUUUGGACAAUGGGCGCAAGCCUGAUCCAGCGACGCCGCGUGGAGGACGAAGGCCUUCGGGUUGUAAACUCCUUCUGGAGGGGAAGAAUAAAUUGACGGUACCCUCAGAAAAAGCCACGGCUAACUACGUGCCAGCAGCCGCGGUCAUACGUAGGUGGCGCGCGUUACUCGGAAUUACUAGGCGUAAAGCGUAUGUAGGUGGUUAGAUAAGUCUAUGGUGAAAUUUCCUGGCUUAACUGGGAAGGGACAUAGAUACUAUCUGGCUGGAGUGUGGGAGGGGGAGGCGAAAUUCCUAGGGUAGCGGUGAAAUGCGUAGAUAUCAGGAAGAACACCGAUGGCGAAAGCAGUCUCCUGGCCCAAUACUGACACUGAGGUACGAAAGCUAGGGUAGCAAACAGGAUUAGAUACCCUAGUAGUCC
Molecule: ribosomal RNA, 427 nt
Filed under: uncultured bacterium
Lineage: Bacteria
Description: partial 16S ribosomal RNA
Rfam family: Bacterial small subunit ribosomal RNA
Source: RNAcentral